AAACCUUGCCCAGAUGAAAGUUCAGGGCAGCUUCAGCAAACCGUCCUGUGGGUCAGUGGUGAAAACCCUGCAGAUCUGUCACCCAUGUAUACACAGUCCCACAGUACAUUCUCCAAGGUGAAUACUUCUCUUCCUCUAAAUAGUAGGAAGUCUGUUUCAUCUCCUCUCUGCUUCUGUUGCCAGAAACAGGCGCCGUGUCAGGAGCAGCCUUCUCUGUAUAUGGCAAUCCUCCAGAGGAGGGGUUUGCAGGCAAAUCUAGACCCUUCUGACCAUCUCCAGAGCACAAAGGGAUGCACCUGAGCAUUGUGGGACACACUCCUUAGGUUCUGUACUGUUCCCUGACAACCCUAACAAACCUUCACCAUCAGCUUCCAGAAGUUGGAGGAGAUGAGACCUGGGGUCAGAAGACAGAAGUGGGGUAGUAGGAACAGGGUUUCACUAAAGAGGGCGUUAAAGAGUUCUCACUUCCCACCAUUCCUCAGAGCCUUCCUCAAUGCUUUUCUUUGCCCAGAGUCCCCAGAGUCAAGUUGGGGCCGUAACCCUGGUACUCUAUGCCAGCAAGGGACACUCAGCUACCAAUUGCCAUCAAUGUGAUCAAACUAUCAAGGAGCAUCAAUAAACCAAGGAACAUGAAGGAGAAAGUUGAACAGUAGAUCAAACUGAAGAUGACAGUGCACAGAGCAGCGAUCUCCUGAGGAACCCAACUGCAAAGCACCAAGGGGAAGGAGCAAGCCAACCUGAAGGAAGAACUGGCCCAAGGGGACAACAGACAAAAGACCAUGGACUCCAGAUUUAAGCCCAGUUGGUCUAGCUUCUAAGUCUAUCUUAUACUGUACAAAAUGGUCAUGACAUGUCCUGGGCAGCUAAUUAAGUAAAAUUAAAAUAAAUUUUAAAAUUCAGCUUUUCAACCCCACCAGCCAUAUGUACUCAGACGCCACUUCUAAUCCACGGGCACUCUACAGGACAAGAUGGCUCAAGAGCCCAGAGGUGCAGAAAGCCACCCUUGAGGCCAAACUUUGCCCACCUUCUUGCUGCAUCUUCAUUUGGAUUUGGUCCCAUACACUGAAAUCCCCAUCUUCUUGGUGUACUUAAGCUUAAGCUUAAGUAGGCAUUUCAGAUGGGACUCUAACGAAAAGCCCCCACCCUCAAGAUGUUGAUAGCAGUAUUUCAAAAUGUAAGAAAUGUUCCACACAAAGUUCUUCCUAUAACACAAGGAACGUUUUUUAGGUGGUAUUAGGUGGUCUUUCAUUGUAUGGCAUGAAGAAGGGACUCAGAGUAAGGUGCCGUUGCAGGCUAGUAGUAAAGGGUGUGACUCCUAUGAUCCACAAACAAGUAAGUUGUUCCCUUGAGGAAAAGGCAGCUGUCAAAGUUCAGUUACUCCAAGAGCAACACACUAGGCUCACUAUAAAAUCCAAAUCUAAAUGACCAGCCUCUAUUACCAGAGAGAAAGGAGACCCAGGAAGAAGCCACCCCUUAGCAUGAAGAAGCAGGCUAAUGAGUAGGAAGAAGAACCCCUCUGAUAAACUGAGCGAAGAAGCUUCCUGGACGCUUCAUUUUCAGGCUAGGGCUGUAUUUUCUUGUUGCACCUGUUAAAUGAAAUCAGCACAUAUCUGUAACAAAAUGAAAAAAUUCCCUCCCCUCCUGUUGAGGCAUUCUGUGACAAUGACUGCCAAGGUACCUCACUGUACUUCACAGACCCACAAUGGAUGGGCUAUCUACCUGAUUUGCCAGCAGUGGAUGAGUUUUCACUUUGGCCACAGGACAGUGGAGGGAAGCAAACAUGCUGGGUUCGUCCUGAAGGGCUCAAGACUAGCAGCAAGGAGCACCAAACGAGCGUGUUCAAGAGGAUGUGCUCAGCAAGGAGCACGGAGCACACACAGGUGUCAGACCUUUAUUCCACACUGUAUGUUUGUCCCCAUCUUAUCUUCUGAACAAUUAUUUUCAGAAACACAGGCCAAACCAUCAUUUAUAGUUGUGUAACAUUCUGAGGAUAUCUACAAAUAUGUUAUAAUUUAUUUAACCAAAUCUCUGCUACAGGACACAUAUCUGCUUACUAUGUACAACAGUAUUUUUGUGAAUAUGGUAUUACUAAAACAUUCUCCAGUUAUCUUCUUUUGGAGGAGGGGUGGUUCAAGACAGGGUUUAAUUGUGUAGUCCUGGCUGUCCUGGAACUCACUUUGUAGACCAGGCUGACCUUGAACUCAUAGAGAUCCGCCUGCUUCUGCCUCUGCCUUCUAACCAGUGUGUUUAAAGGCCUGCAUCAGCACCACUCUGUCAGAAAUUUAUUACACUACAGAAACAGAAUGUCCUACUAGCAAUCUGUACACAUGGACAUACAUCUAACAAUAUAUGGAACACAAAAGCUUUAAAAAUGUUUGCUAUUACUGUGAUUUAUACAAUCCAAUUCACAAUGAUAGUGUAUUUUUGUGCCUACCACAAAUGAAGUCAUGUAAUGAUCACUCAAUAACACCACUGUAUGUUGACUUUUCAAAGGAACUAUUUCCUUUUCCUUUGGUUGAAAGGUCUACUAGAUCAAGGCCAUUUUUAUGUAAUAUAAAUUGAGAAAUUAUAUACCUCAAUACCAUUCUUAAUUAGCUACAAAUUAUUUUGAUUAUUAAUAAAAAGUAAUUUAUUUUCCCAGACACUUUAGAAAACAACAACAAUUACAACAAACCAAACCAAAAACCAAACAAACAAAACAAAAACCAACCAACUCACCCACCAAAUCCCAAAAGGGAUUUUAAUUAAAGGAAUCACAAGAUAUCCAAUAUGUAAACUAAAAGCAAUAUACUCUAUGUCCCCAUAAGACAUGGCACAAAAGGCUCAGAUAAAGUAGGAAGAGUAAGGGAAGAGUGAUGGGGCUUUGUGAGGGGGAUAGGGGUGGGCAGUAAUCGGGGUGUAAAAUGUAUAAAUAAAUCAAUAGAAAAAAUAGCCAAAAAAUGAAAAAGAAAAAGAAAGGAAGUUACAAGAGAGACAGCUUGCUGCCAGGUGGCAGGGGACAUGCUAAAGACACCAGAGACAUACUAUCCACCACAAGACAGCAGGCACACAUGCUUGGAACCCAAAGGCAUGUCCACUGCUGUGUGGCAGUGUGUAGGUGGUUGCUGCUAUGAUGAGCAAGUAUGAGGUGGAGAGUUGAGAAGAGAACAAGAGGCACAAUGGUACACUAUGACGAGAGGAGGAAUGAGGAACUUAAGGGUGGAGAUGAACAGCCUGAUGUGAGUAGUCUGUGCUGCUGCUGAGGGCUCUGAAGUAGCAGAGGUCUUUUUAAUGUCCAUAGCCCAUGUUACCACCAAAGGUCAUGCAGAUGUUCCAGGUCUGGGCUGUCUCCUGGUGCCAUCUUAAUGUCUGAGGGCUGAGUUGGCCCUGCAGAGUUGGCUCCACUGGCUGUGGCACUCAGGAGAGCUAGCCUCACUGCUUACUUGGGCAGCUUGGGAGAGCUGGCCUUGAGGGUGUGAGGGUAUGAGAGAUGGCCCCACCCCUCACUGGCUACAACACUUGGGAGAGCAGGCCCUGCACCUUACCUGGUUAGCAUAGUAGAGUUGGGCCUGGUAUCCUGGUGGGAGAGCCAGACCCACCCCUUGCCAGCUGCCCUAAGCAGGAUAGCUGACCUCACUCCUGCCUGGGCAAAGCAGGGGAGCUCACCCUGAUGGAGCAGGUGUAGGAGAGAGCUGGUGAGCUGAACAACUCACCAUCAUCCAGGGCUUUGAGUUGGCCCACCCCAACAUCUAUGCCAUCUGUGAACUGCUGGGGCUACAGAUCCAAAACUACAAGACCUUCAUGUCACAGGGCAACAACAGGACAUCAGAAAGGAAUCCCCGUGAGGAUCCAGUAUUGAUAUGGUAGCAGAACCCAGAGGCCUUGUACCACACCAAUGACUCAAUGAAAUGAACAUCUGCAAGUAACUGUUUAGGCAAUAGGUAUCCUGUGUGACAUUGACACACCACAGCUUCUUCUGUGAGAUGGUUUGUAUGUGUGUGUGUUUAUUGUUAUUUUAUUUUUUGAGGAAGAUUGCAACAGCACAAGUCCAAUACGGGGGGACAGGAGAUGAGUGAGAUUGGGGUGCAUGAUAUGAAAUUCACAAAGAAUCAAUAAAAAGUUAAGAAAUAAGAAGUAAAGUAUGAACCUUAUGAUUUUACUUUUCUUUUAAAAUAUGCACUUAAUAUGAAAUAUUACAUGUAAGAACAUUAAAAGUAGCUAAUACUCGGUGGUGGAAUUGAAGACCAUUUAAAAUUCCUUAUUUUUAAACUAUAUAUAUAUUUUUAGUUUCUUCUAUAAAGAAGUUUUAUAUGAAAUGAAAAAUUUUAAGCAUUUAUGCAGUUAAGAUUCCAACAGGGUAUCCAGUUUCUUGGACACACCAAUACUCUGGCACAACAGACCUGUCUUAGAUAACAAGGUUUUCCAAAACAGGAAUAUUCUAGACAGAUGGAGGACUAGCAUCCCUGAGGAGUCCUUGAGCUCUGAACCCCAAAUUCCUGACUGAUUGCUCAUUCUCCUAGAGAUAAGAGCCUUGAGUGCUUAUCACCCAUCCAUGCUGACCUGAAGCUUUCAAAACAGAACCCUGAAGUGUAGGCUGAUCACAUGAGUCCCAUCUCCUGCGACAAAUCCCCAAUGUCUCUAGGCUCAGCAUGUCAACAGCUGUGUCCUCCGCCUCAUGCUCACACAAGCCUCCCCUCAUGCUCCCACAAGCCUCCCCUCAGGUUCACACAACCCUCCCCUCAGGCUCACACAAGUCUCCCCUCAUACUCACACAAGCCUCCCUGCAUGCUCACAUAAAUGCUCACGCAAGCGUCCCUCUUAUGCCCAUACAAGCUAACUUCUUUGAGCAUUUCUGACUGCACACUUCAGUCCCUGCACUUACCCUGGCAGGCCUCAUAGGAUGGCAGCUGCUGACAUACUCCUGCCCUUGUUCUUGACUUUAAGCAGGUUGUGUGGGAUACAAUAGAGUCAGGAGAGGUAGGCAAGUGGAGAG
This is a long non-coding RNA of Mus musculus (house mouse), 4972 nucleotides long. RefSeq annotates it as predicted gene, 51887. The record is from RefSeq and is a predicted model, not a curated record. The transcript is spliced from 3 exons. NCBI's taxonomy places the organism in Eukaryota, Metazoa, Chordata, Mammalia, Rodentia, Muridae.